UACGAAGGGGGCUAGCGUUGUUCGGAAUCAUUGGGCGUAAAGAGCGCGCAGGCGGCUUGGCAAGUCGGGUGUGAAAUCCCGGGGCUCAACCCCGGGACUGCAUUCGAUACUGUCAGGCUAGAGGUAGGUAGGGGAGAUCGGAAUUCCUGGUGUAGCGGUGAAAUGCGCAGAUAUCAGGAGGAACACCGGUGGCGAAGGCGGAUCUCUGGGCCUUACCUGACGCUCAGGCGCGAAAGCUAGGGGAGCGAACAGG
RNAcentral lists this ribosomal RNA (253 nucleotides) under uncultured bacterium. RNAcentral describes it as "partial 16S ribosomal RNA". It matches the Rfam family "Bacterial small subunit ribosomal RNA", at positions 524 to 776 of the family's 1533-position model. The record is from RNAcentral.